RNAcentral lists this ribosomal RNA (468 nucleotides) under uncultured bacterium. RNAcentral's name for it is "partial 16S ribosomal RNA". It matches the Rfam family "Bacterial small subunit ribosomal RNA", at positions 28 to 507 of the family's 1533-position model. The record is from RNAcentral.
GACGAACGCUGGCGACGUGCUUAACACAUGCAAGUCGAACGGAAAGGCCCUGCCUUUGUGGGGCGCUCGAGUGGCGAACGGGUGAGUAACUCGCGAGUAACCUGCCUUCGAUUUAGGGCUAACUCACGGAAACUAGGGCUAAUACCCGCUACGUGUUCCUCCUGCAUGGCGUGGGUUGGUAAGGUUGGACGGUUGGGGAUGGACACGCGUGUUAUCGGCUUGUUGGUGGGGUAGUGGCUUACUAAGGGUUUCAGGGGUGGGCGGCCUGAGAGUGUGACCGGUGACAUUGCGACUGAGAUACGGCCCACACUAGUGCGGGAGUCAGGAGUAGGGGAGAUUGCAGGAUGCGGCGAAGGCUCAUGCAGCAACGCCGCGUUAGGGAUGACGGCCUUCGGGUAGAAAAGCGGUUUAGACUGUUACGAAGAGUGCCUGACGGUACCGGAUAAAUAAGCACCGGCUAACUACGUG